AAUAAAUAUCAAGAGAUGCAACGUGUGUUGCCACCAACCGAGCUUACUAUAGCGUAGCCACGGUGGGAUAUAUGAUGUGAGUGUUUUAACUAAAAAAGAAACGUUAU
This 107-nucleotide non-coding RNA is filed under the name Segatella bryantii. Its description in RNAcentral is "Prevotella bryantii SAM-I-IV sequence". It matches the Rfam family "SAM-I/IV (S-adenosyl methionine) riboswitch aptamer". Rfam says of the family: It is found upstream of a number of genes which code for proteins involved in methionine or cysteine biosynthesis. It has been found mostly in the order Actinomycetales. RNAcentral also lists the same sequence under 1 other name. Lineage: Bacteria; Pseudomonadati; Bacteroidota; Bacteroidia; Bacteroidales; Prevotellaceae. The record is from RNAcentral.